Molecule: long non-coding RNA, 3967 nt
Organism: Sarcophilus harrisii (Tasmanian devil)
Lineage: Eukaryota; Metazoa; Chordata; Mammalia; Dasyuromorphia; Dasyuridae
Exons: 2
Source: RefSeq, a predicted model, not a curated record
AAAUUCCAAAUUCUCUUCUCUCCUUCCUUCUCCUUCCCUUUCCUUAAAAAGGCAGGCAAUUUGAUAUAGAUUAGACUUGGAUCACUCACAUUUCCAUAGCACUUUUUCUGUUUGAGAACAAAGAUGGCUCUUCCAACAACCGUAUGAGGCAGUACAAAUACUAUCUUUGCCCUUGCAGUUGAGAACGUGACAGGUGAACUUGACUGUGACCUUUAACUCAGUUGUCCUUUUUCUGCAUCCAGUCUUCCAACAUAACCCAUAGCCAUGCAAUUCCUAUUUAAUACCUUCGGUCCUGUGGCCAUUUAUCUGGUGGUGUCAGUACACAAAGCUUAGAUCCAGAUUCAAGAAAACUCAUCUUCCAAAGCUCAGAUACUGGCUUUAGAUGCUGGCUAGCUGUGUGACCCUGGGCAAGUCACUUAACCUUGUUUGCCUUACUCAUCUGUAUGAACUGGAGAAACUCAGCCAGAGAAAACUGAAAUGUUUAAAAAAACAAAAACAAAAAAAACCUUAACACUGGCUGACCUCUCCAGGAAGGAAGAAUCAGGCUCAUAAAUUAUGUGUUGACUUGGGUUUCUCCUCUUCGGGGCUAAGUGUUUCAUUCUGACUGCCUGGCUUUAAGUCCUGCCUUUAUGAAAAUAUUUAAUUCUUUGGUGUAAGAUGCUGGAAAGAUAAAAGUGCUUUGAAAACUUUUAAGUGUCUUACAAUUAGAAUUUCUGAUUAGUAGAUUCUGUCUUAAUAAUCACACAGAAGACUUUAGUUCAACUAUUUGAUUUUAAAGUCAAAUUAUAAACAGAAGCAAAAUAUAUGAAUUUGUCAUACUGUCUUUUGUGCUGAGGCUAAAGUUUGUUCUUUAGCCAGGACAAACACACACAUGGCCCAGUUCUCAAAUGUGGGCUCAUGCCCAAGACAGAUGCUGUGAUUUCCUGUAUUCUCUUAGGACUGUGCCAGUGGUAGCUAGUCACAGGCCACAUUCUCUGGAAUUUUUUUUUGAAAGGGACCCAGAGGUCAACUAGUCCAAUCCCCUGCCUUCUCUGAGAUGCUUCAGAUACUAACUCUUUUGAGGUAUUUGUUCACUCUCUGAUAUUUGGACAAUUUUUUGGAAUUUAUCAGGGAAGAGAAGAGAACUUAUUGACAGAAUGGGAGGAUCAAGGGAAGAUGUGAUUUUUAAACAAUUUUUUUUUCUUUUUUGAAUAGAAGAUAUUUGGGCACUUAGAACAGAUAGCCUUAUUAUCUCACCUUAUAUCCAGCCUGUUAAACUGUAGGCUCUUUGAAGGAGAAGCGUACAUGGAAGCCAUCUUUGGACAUCUCACAUAGCUUUAGGAAAGUUUCCAAAGUCAUUUAACUCGGCUCCUGUCUCAUGUCUCAAGAAAACCCAAAGGCCAGAAAAGCAAUGAUUUGCCUUCAAAGUUAUACAAAGCUCUAAAUGGCAGAGCUGGAUUACAACCCAUAUGCACCUGACUCCAUGUCCAGCAGUUUUGGCUUUGUGCAGCCAUUCCCAUAUGUAGUAGUCAGAGGAGGGAAGGGAAUAAACAUUUCUCUAGAGUCCACUGCAAGCCAGGCACUCUGCUAAGCCAUAUAGAGAUAUUGUUCAUUUCAUCCUUACGACAAUCCUGUGAGGUUGGUGCAGUUAUCUUCUUUUUGCAAUUGAGGAAACUGGGUAACAGUGAAACGACUUAUUCAGGGUCACACAGCUAGUAAGUGUGGAGUCUUCCUGGCUCAUUAUACCACCUAACUCACUCUAAUAAAUAUCUAAUGAAUGAAGGAAGGGAUUGAAUUUGUGUAUAUUUACUCAUGCUCUUAUUUUGUGUGUAUGUGAGAAUGUGAGUAAAUAAACGUGUGUAUUAUAACACUCCAUAUGUAUACUAUAGAAUGUAUCUGUACACACGUGAUUACACUGUGUGAUUGUAGAUACAUGUUCCUCUAAUAAAUAUCUAAUGAAUGAAUUUGAAUUUAUAUAUAUUCACUCAUGCUCCCAUUAUUUUACAUGUGUGUGAGAGCAUGAGUAAACACGUUUAUGCAUACAAUGUAUGUAUGUACUACAUGAUGUAUCUCUACACACGUGAUUACAUGUGUAUGAUUGUAUAUACAUGUGUGUGUACCAGUGUCCCAAGAGUCUUAGUACAGUUUCAAGAUUAAGCGUUAUAACUUUAAAGCAACACCAAGAUUUGGGGGUACCUUGUAUAUAAUAGCUGUUGUUUAUAUGGUGUUUUAAAGUUUGUGGAAUACUUCAAUAAGUAAUAGCCCAUACUAGCUGAAGGCACUAAGAUAUGGGGGUACCUUGUAUAAAAUAGCUGUUGUUAAUAUGGUAUUUUAAAGUUUGUGGGAUACUUCAAUAAUAGCCGUACUACUUGAAGGCACUAAGAUAUGGGGGUACCUUGUAUAGAACAGCUGUUGUUAAUAUAGUCAUUUAAGGUUAGCAGAAUGCUUAGAACAGCUUGUAGGUCUGGGAAGGGCUUUGCACAUGUUCUGUUCCAUUGGUCCUCAAAACAGUCCCAUGUAGUAGAUGCUGUUAUCACCCUUCCUGCUCUUUUCCCCUGGCACUCUUCUGUUGCCUUACACAGAGGUGAUGAUCCUCAUUGUGUAAUGUUUUUCCCUCCAUCCCCAAGGUGACCUGUGUAUCAUGUAUUCAGCCCUACAGGACACAGGCUCUUUUUCCUGUGGCACCAUUUUCCACUGAUCCAGUUGUCUCCUCCUGUCACUCCCUGAACCUUUUGAGCUAAGUAACACUGGCAAAUGAGGUAACCAGAGAGACCCUCGCAUUUGUUUAACUUGCAGUGCGUGAAUCAGGGCAAAUUUGUCUUGGAGCUGGAGCUGAGUGUAGGUUUUCCUUCCCUUCCUCCCUCUCUCCCCCUAAAAAAAGUUUGCUCUUGGUGGAGGAAAAAUAGGGAAAGCUGAGUCAGGCACUUAUUUUCCUCACAAAGCAGCUGUGCUUUUUCUUAGGAGCCAGGUUGCUUAUUAAGAAUAGAGAAAAAGAAAAAGCAGGACCCUUGGAGCCUACUUAUUCUCACUUGUUUGCUUGAUUUUAAAGGGAGGGAAGAUGUCUUGGGGACAGAGCACAAACUUGUCUGGAAAAAUCAUUUAAUGGCUGAAUGGAGUGAUUGGAGUGGACAGAAACUUGGCAGGUAGACCAGCAGGCUGUUGUCCAAGCAUGAGGUGAUAAGGUCUGUAUUUGAAUGGAAGCUGUGUCAAAAAAGAGAAAAUGUGUGGGUGAGAGAUAUCACAGAAGCAAAAUCAAUAGGCCUUGGCUACCGAUUGGACUUGGGAAGGUGAGGAGGUGAGGAUGAUCCCUGUGUUUUGAGUCUGGGGGUCUGGGAGCAUUUGUGUUACCUUUGACAGGGAUUAAUCUAAAAUGUGUACCCAACCUUCCAUUUAAGAUGGCCAGUAGAUAUCUGGAGAUGAGUGGUGAAAUGAGGAAUGGAUUAGGAGGUAGAGAGGUGAUAAUUAAAUCCAUGGAAGCUAAUGGGAUCACCAGUUUUUAGGAGCCAUCCUUUCAGAAAAGCAUUGUUAAGUUGGGAGAAUGUUGAGGGUGAUGGAAAGGGCAUUGUGGGGAGAGAGGGACCCAUAUUCUGUGUUCAAUAAAAAAAAAAAACUAUAUGUUUAGAUUGGGGAGAAAAAGAUAAUUCAGGAUAGUCCUGAUAGUUUUGUUCAGAUGUUGAAAGUGUUCUGUUAGGGAGGUAGGAUUAGUCUUGUUUUAUUUAACAAAACCAAAAAUAGGGAUGGAAGCAAUAUUGGAAAAAAAAAAAAACCAUACUAACCUUUAGAACUGUCCAAGAGUAGAAUAAUCUGUCUAAAGAUAUACUCAGUUCUUUUCCUUAAAGCAGGCACUGAACAUGGAAAUUCAUUUCAGGAUGGUGAUCACCUGCAGGAUGUCCCUUCCAACUUUCAGAUUUUGUGAUUCUGGGUCCCUAGGAGCUUUAUUUAGGGGAUUUUACAACAUGGAAUUUUUUUUUUUUUUUUAAUGACCCAG